AUACGUAGGGGGCGAGCGUUGUCCGGAAUGAUUGGGCGUAAAGGGCGCGUAGGCGGCGCGGUAAGUCUGGAGUGAAAGUCCUGCUUUCAAGGUGGGAAUUGCUUUGGAUACUGCCGCGCUUGAGUGCAGGAGAGGUUAUCGGAAUUCCCGGUGUAGCGGUGAAAUGCGUAGAGAUCGGGAGGAACACCAGUGGCGAAGGCGGGUAACUGGACUGCAACUGACGCUGAGGCGCGAAAGUGUGGGGAGCAAACAGGAUUAGAUAUCCUGGUAGUCCACACUGUAAACGAUGAAUGCUAGGUGUAAGAGGUAUCGACCCCUUUUGUGCCGGAGUCAACACAAUAAGCAUUCCGCCUGGGGAGUACGGCCGCAAGGUUGAAACUCAAAGGAAUUGACGGGG
This 397-nucleotide ribosomal RNA is filed under the name uncultured bacterium. Its description in RNAcentral is "partial 16S ribosomal RNA". It matches the Rfam family "Bacterial small subunit ribosomal RNA", at positions 523 to 918 of the family's 1533-position model. The record is from RNAcentral.